Long non-coding RNA from Priapulus caudatus, 247 nucleotides. RefSeq lists it as uncharacterized. Lineage: Eukaryota; Metazoa; Priapulida; Priapulimorpha; Priapulimorphida; Priapulidae. The transcript has 3 exons. The record is from RefSeq and is a predicted model, not a curated record.
AGCAACAGCAGCAGCGACACAGGUUCCCGUACGGAGAAUUCGCGCAGGCGGUGCCGUCCGCACCGAGGAACGACUGUGCUGCCAUCGACCGGCGAACGUGUUCCAGCGAUGCCGAUUGCACUUGCUACGACAUGUACGCAUGCGCAGAGGGCAGAUGUAAACCUCUGGGUUUCUACGCAUCCAAGAGCGCGACAGGUGGAAGCAGAUUCUAAAGCGUGUCGACAGCGCCUACACUGGCUAGUGUACG